This 550-nucleotide long non-coding RNA is filed under the name Malus domestica (apple). RNAcentral's name for it is "long non-coding RNA (MDOM_LNC012229)". Lineage: Eukaryota; Viridiplantae; Streptophyta; Magnoliopsida; Rosales; Rosaceae. The record is from RNAcentral.
ACAUAUUCAAAUCUUCUCUUAGAAUCAACAUGCACUAUACCCAAAGAAUUACCCUAGAAGUAAACUACAUAUUAAGAAAUAGAAUAAAAGAAAUUUGAAAUCAUAAUUGCAGCUUUAAGCUUCAGAAAUACUCAUCUAUAUGAGGUUGUGGCUGGAAGCUGAGAGCAAGAAAGAAAUACAAAAUAUAAUCCCAGAUCCCUUCAUCAAAGCCUUCAUCAUAUCCAGAUCAACAUAGCUUGAUGAAGACAAUCCCAAAAAUUAAAUAGCACGAAAGAAACUCAAACUUAAAAAUUAAUUUAUACUUGAAGAAGAGAGUGGCAAGAGGGAUCUUACUCUUAAUUACAACCUAUAAACUUACAGAAAACAUCCGCCUAAACCCAUUUAGCGGCGAAGUGGUGGAUUGAUGAGAUUUUUUUGCCCCACCCCUACGACCCACGAUAUUUUUAUUGAUGUGCAACCUUGGAUUGGUUCAUAAAAAACCACCAAAUCGGGAAAGGGAAGCGAGAUGGACCGAAUCUGUGAUUGGUUCAUAAAAAACCACUAGAUAGAA